This is an unclassified non-coding RNA of Pongo abelii (Sumatran orangutan), 117 nucleotides long. It matches the Rfam family "Metazoan signal recognition particle RNA". Rfam says of the family: The signal recognition particle (SRP) is a universally conserved ribonucleoprotein. It is involved in the co-translational targeting of proteins to membranes. The record is from Ensembl. NCBI's taxonomy places the organism in Eukaryota, Metazoa, Chordata, Mammalia, Primates, Hominidae.
GCCGGGCGUGGUGGCUCACGCCUGUAAUCCCAGCACUUUGGGAGGCUGAGGCGGGUGGAUCACCUGAGGUCAGGAGUUCAAGACCAGCCUGACCAACGUGGAGAAACCCUGUCUCUA